AAACAAGUAAUGUAUGCAUAUUACUAAUCUAAGUUACUUUUCAUACCGCCUUAGAACAAAUAGUCUCUAGCAGCACCCCAACAUGAUAUACGAAUGACAAAAAACACCAUGAGAACAUAACUAAAACACAAGACAACAUAGAUAAAACCAAAAUUAAAGAACCAACCCCAAUAAUUUGCAACCAACCCCAAUAAUUUGCUAGAGAAAAGACACCCCC
This 217-nucleotide long non-coding RNA is filed under the name Hordeum vulgare. RNAcentral describes it as "long non-coding RNA (HVUL_LNC001144)". The record is from RNAcentral. Lineage: Eukaryota; Viridiplantae; Streptophyta; Magnoliopsida; Poales; Poaceae.